CUGAAUUUCAAAAUCAAUAUAAUAACAAUGAACAUAUGAUAUAACUCACUAUAAUCGCCAAAACAAUCUUAAUAAAAUUACAUUCUCUAUGACUGAUACCAUCCCUUUGGAGAGAAGAAAGAAAGAAAAAACGGCAAUUACACUUUGAAAAAUAUGAGAAUGGCUAUCUCUCUGAAAUGCUGCCACUAUAAAAUGCAUUCACAGUAUCCUCAAUCGCCUCUACUCUCGCGAUUCCAGCCCAUAGAAUCAUGAAAUGCUUCAUCAGACAGCGUUCUGGGAUAUUCCCCAUUGGUCUGUGAAUGUAAACAGGGACCAAAACUUGAGUGUCUAUCACACAUCAAGUUUGGCAGCCCAUUUUGCUUAGUAUAACUGUCAAAUGGAUCACCAAUGUUCAUCAUGCUCAAUCCUGGCAUGUCCAGCUGCAUUUCGUCGCGAUUAGGAUGACAAUUUAGGUCUAGUGAUCCAGCACUGGUUUCAGCCACCUCGGUUUGCUUUCUGUUUUGACUGACUUCAUUCCC
This 518-nucleotide unclassified non-coding RNA is filed under the name Hevea brasiliensis (rubber tree). Lineage: Eukaryota; Viridiplantae; Streptophyta; Magnoliopsida; Malpighiales; Euphorbiaceae. The record is from RNAcentral.